UGGGGAAUAUUGCACAAUGGGCGCAAGCCUGAUGCAGCCAUGCCGCGUGUAUGAAGAAGGCCUUCGGGUUGUAAAGUACUUUCAGCGGGGAGGAAGGCGAUAAGGUUAAUAACCUUGUCAAUUGACGUUACCCGCAGAAGAAGCACCGGCUAACUCCGUGCCAGCAGCCGCGGUAAUACGGAGGGGGCAAGCGUUAAUCGGAAUUACUGGGCGUAAAGCGCACGCAGGCGGUCUGUCAAGUCGGAUGUGAAAUCCCCGGGCUCAACCUGGGAACUGCAUUCGAAACUGGCAGGCUAGAGUCUUGUAGAGGGGGGUAGAAUUCCAGGUGUAGCGGUGAAAUGCGUAGAGAUCUGGAGGAAUACCGGUGGCGAAGGCGGCCCCCUGGACAAAGACUGACGCUCAGGUGCGAAAGCGUGGGGAGCAAACA
Molecule: ribosomal RNA, 427 nt
Filed under: uncultured bacterium
Lineage: Bacteria
Description: partial 16S ribosomal RNA
Rfam family: Bacterial small subunit ribosomal RNA
Source: RNAcentral